Molecule: ribosomal RNA, 252 nt
Filed under: uncultured bacterium
Lineage: Bacteria
Description: partial 16S ribosomal RNA
Rfam family: Bacterial small subunit ribosomal RNA
Source: RNAcentral
UACGUAGGGAGCAAGCGUUGUCCGGAAUUACUGGGUGUAAAGGGAGCGUAGGCGGGAUGGCAAGUUGGGUGUUAAAUCUACCGGCUCAACUGGUAGUCGCACUCAAAACUGCUAUUCUUGGGUGAAGUAGAGGCAGGCGGAAUUCCUAGUGUAGCGGUGAAAUGCGUAGAUAUUAGGAGGAACACCAGUGGCGAAGGCGGCCAACUGGGCUUUAACUGACGCUGAGGCUCGAAAGUGUGGGGAGCAAACAGG